UACGUAGGGUGCGAGCGUUAAUCGGAAUUACUGGGCGUAAAGCGUGCGCAGGCGGUUUUGUAAGACAGGCGUGAAAUCCCCGGGCUUAACCCGGAACGGUCAGCUGAUACUGUCGGGCUAGAGUGCAGAAGGGGCAACUGGAAUUCUCGGUGUAGCGGUGAGAUGCGUAGAUAUCGAGAGGAACACCUGCGGCGAAGGCGGGUUGCUGGGCUGACACUGACGCUGAGGCGCGAAAGCUAGGGGAGCGAACGGG
Molecule: ribosomal RNA, 253 nt
Filed under: uncultured bacterium
Lineage: Bacteria
Description: partial 16S ribosomal RNA
Rfam family: Bacterial small subunit ribosomal RNA
Source: RNAcentral